GUGAAAUGCGUAGAUAUCUGGAAGAACACCGAAGGCGAAGGCAGUGUCCUGGCUCGGAACUGACGCUCAGGUGCGAAAGCGAGGGGAGCAAACAGGAUUAGAUACCUGGUAGUCCUCGCGGUAAACGAUGACCACUAGAUGUGGGAGGGCUCGACCCCUUCCGUAUCGCAGUUAACACAAUAAGUGGUCCGCCUGGGGAGUACGAUCGCAAGAUUAAAACUCAAGGGAAUUGACGGGGACCCGCACAAGCAGCGGAGCGUGUGGUUUAAUUCGAUGCGACGCGCAGAACCUUACCAGGAUUUGACAUGUCGAGGCACCAGCCAGAGAUGGCUGUCCGAGCAAUCGGCCUCGACACAGGUGCUGCAUGGCUGUCGUCAGCUCGUGCCGUGAGGUGUUGGGUUAAGUCCCCCAACGAGCGCAACCCUUGUCGUCGGUUGAAACUGUCCGGCGAGACCGCCACCACACAGUGGAGGAAGAUGGGGAUGACGUCAAGUCAGCACGGCCCUUACAUCCUGGGCGACACACACGCCACAAUGGCUGGCACAAACGGUGGCCAACCCGCGAGGGGGAGCUAAUCCAAGCAAAGCCAGUCUCAGUUCGGAUGGUAGGCUGCAACCCGCCUGCCUGAAGCCGGAGUUGCUAGUAACCGUGGGUCAGCACACCACGGUGAAUACGUUCCCGGGUCUUGUACACACCGCCCGUCACACCACGAAAGUCGGCAGCACUUGAAGCCGCCGGGCUAACCCUUCUUCGGAAGGGAGGCAGGCGUCCAGGGUGAGGUCGGUGUUUGGGGUGAAGUCGUAACAAGGUAACCGU
Molecule: ribosomal RNA, 816 nt
Filed under: uncultured bacterium
Lineage: Bacteria
Description: bacterial SSU rRNA
Rfam family: Bacterial small subunit ribosomal RNA
Source: RNAcentral